Molecule: long non-coding RNA, 909 nt
Organism: Schistocerca serialis cubense
Lineage: Eukaryota; Metazoa; Arthropoda; Insecta; Orthoptera; Acrididae
Exons: 3
Source: RefSeq, a predicted model, not a curated record
CGACUAAAAGGGCACAAGUUGGUACGAACUAUAAUGGUAGUAGCCUGCGAAGAGUAAUUCUUUAGGAUAUUUUUUAAAAUUCUGUUGAGACAACUGUUCCUGUCAACCAAUCACGCUGAUCGAUGUCGAAAGGCAAUUCACUGCUCGUAUAAAAACGGAAAAUUUUCUCGAAAAACUUCUGUCACAUUUGUGUCCGAAGGAUAUCAAGUUGUUGCUAAAAUGGAAGAACAAGAUCAAGUUAAUGUAUGCAGUUUUGGAUGUACUGAUUCCUCAUGCCAUUUAACGACAUACGGGUGAAGUUACAACAUUGCUAUUGACUUGAUUGUUUUAAGAGACGUCUCCUCUACAACACCAACUGAGGUGGUGCAGUGGUAGCACACUGGACCCACAUUCAGGACGACGAUUGUUCAAAAUAGCAUCUGGUCAUCCUGAUUUAGGUUUUUCAUAAUUUCCCUAAAUCAUUUCAGGCAAAUGCUGGGUGGUUCCUUUGAAAGGACACGGCCAAUUUCAUUCCUUAUCCGAUGACCUCACUGUUUGAUCCCCUCCCCCCAAAUCAGUCAAUCAAUCAGUUAGUCCUCUACAACAUUGUUUAUAACCAAAAUACCCUAAAUUCCAAAAUAACUAAUUGAAAUUACCUCCAAAUUUGGUAUUGAAAAGUUAGAAAAUCUACUUUUUAGACCCAAGAAUAACAACCAGGAAGUGACUUACCGGAGUGUAUUUUUUCCUCUAGUUGGAUAUCAUAAACUAUUAGCCUUACAUAGAGCAAGAACACUGACAAAUGUUUCCCUAAUUUUUUAUAAUUUUUUUAAAAUUUGAAAACCUUUAUUUUUUGUAAAGUUUGGGGGUAGUUAUCUCUGGAGGGACUGAAUGUAAAAAUUUUGAGUUUUGCACAUUUUGUACACCUGUAUG